RNAcentral lists this long non-coding RNA (433 nucleotides) under Chrysolophus pictus (golden pheasant). Its description in RNAcentral is "lncRNA (ENSCPIG00010012611.1)". The record is from RNAcentral. Lineage: Eukaryota; Metazoa; Chordata; Aves; Galliformes; Phasianidae.
GACUUGUUCAGCCACAGACUGACAUCAUGGAGCACUAGAAAUCCGAGGGGCUUCGGUCAAGGAUGAAGUGGUGGAGAUAAAGGCACCACAUGAUUCAUUAAUGUCUUAUGUGGCCUAGACAGGAAGGAGGGACAAAGAUACAGAACUACCAUGUGCUUUCCUAUGCUGCAUCACAACACUGAAACAAGAUAUUCUGGUUUGUCUUUCUGUGCUGAAGGACAUUCAAAAUAAAGACAGCCUUCCCUCAAAAAUAACAGGCUGUAUAAUCCCAGAGGCACACCUUUCAGCUCCAUCUUGUUCUCAUCUUCCGGGCAACCCCCUGCUUUAAGCCCCUCCUCAGGGUUUCACAGAGUUUCUGGAGGAAAGCAGCCCUUUUGUUCUGGUUCCAUGUCCAUUCAUUUAUGCCCAAGCUCAUGUAACAGAGGUGGGGACA